UUAUCUUCUUUUUUACGAUUCUGUUUGAUUUUUUUUUACGAUCUUAAAAUUUGAAACACACGAUUUAUUCAUUAAGAAGAUCAAUCUUCUUUUGACUCCUAAAUUCUCUCCCAUCAUUCUUUUUUUUCCCGAUUUUUUACCCAUCACUAACCUAGUGAUUUCAAUCGUCCACCGUCUGUUCCGCCAGUGCCGCCUCAAACGCCACUGCAUAACAAAUCCGGCAACCGGAGCUCCGAUUCAGAGAGAUCCCAACAACAACAAGAUGUUCUUGAAGAAGAUAGGCAGAAAAUUGAAGGAAGAACAAGAUUCACAAUGUAACUAUCCGGUUUCUGUCAUUCUAAAGGCUUAAAUAUAAUAUAAUUGUGGAGGACGUUGCAUCAGAGUUGUAAAUAUCUUUCACAAGCUUGAUGUGCUAUGAGAUUUGGAGAUCUUCCCUCCUGGGCCAUUUAACUCUCCAAUUCAAUUCGUGAAACACUUCAGUUCGCCGGCGAAGAAAAACUGCUACGAUUUAUGCUUGUCUCUAUAAUUCUAAAACUGUUGUCUUCUUAGUAAAACGAUAGUAAAUUGUUAGUAAACAGUUAGUAAAUUAACUUAUCUUUUAGUAAACGGUUAGUAAUUUUUUUAGUAAUUGAAAAUAAAUGGGUGUUGGGUACUGUUGCAAAAUUUUAUUUUUGUUGCUAGUUAACCAAUGGUGUACUAAUGGUACACCAAUAACCUUAUUUUUAUUACACUGUUAGUAGACGUUGGGUUAACCGUUGGUAAAUGUAAUAAUUUUAAUUUUGAA
This is a long non-coding RNA of Mercurialis annua (annual mercury), 784 nucleotides long. RefSeq lists it as uncharacterized. Lineage: Eukaryota; Viridiplantae; Streptophyta; Magnoliopsida; Malpighiales; Euphorbiaceae. The transcript has 3 exons. The record is from RefSeq and is a predicted model, not a curated record.